Molecule: ribosomal RNA, 257 nt
Filed under: uncultured Pseudomonas sp.
Lineage: Bacteria; Pseudomonadati; Pseudomonadota; Gammaproteobacteria; Pseudomonadales; Pseudomonadaceae
Description: partial 16S ribosomal RNA
Rfam family: Bacterial small subunit ribosomal RNA
Source: RNAcentral
CGGCGGACGGGUGAGUAAUGCCUAGGGAAUCUGCCUGGUAGUGGGGGACAACGUUUCGAAAGGAACGCUAAUACCGCAUACGUCCUACGGGAGAAAGCAGGGACCUUCGGGCCUUGCGCUAUCAGAUGAGCCUAGGUCGGAUUAGCUAGUUGGUGAGGUAAUGGCUCACCAAGGCGACGAUCCGUAACUGGUCUGAGAGGAUGAUCAGUCACACUGGAACUGAGACACGGUCCAGACUCCUACGGGAGGCAGCAGAA